Molecule: ribosomal RNA, 273 nt
Filed under: uncultured Oscillospiraceae bacterium
Lineage: Bacteria; Bacillati; Bacillota; Clostridia; Eubacteriales; Oscillospiraceae
Description: partial 16S ribosomal RNA
Rfam family: Bacterial small subunit ribosomal RNA
Source: RNAcentral
CCUUCGGGUGGAAGAUGAGAUAACUUAGUGGCGGACGGGUGAGUAACACGUGAGCAACCUGCCUAUCAGAGGGGGAUAACGUUCUGAAAAGAACGCUAAUACCGCAUAACGUGCGAGGGAGACAUCUCUCUUGUACCAAAGGAGCAAUCCGCUGAUAGAUGGGCUCGCGUCCGAUUAGGUAGUUGGUAGGGUAACGGCCUACCAAGCCGACGAUCAGUAGCCGGACUGAGAGGUUGAACGGCCACAUUGGGACUGAGAUACGGCCCAGACUCC